Molecule: small nucleolar RNA, 134 nt
Filed under: Myotis davidii
Lineage: Eukaryota; Metazoa; Chordata; Mammalia; Chiroptera; Vespertilionidae
Source: RNAcentral
UGUGGCCCUUAUCGAAGCUGCAGCUGCUUCCACGUAGCUGCUGCGGUCAAAAGGAGCCCAGAGUGACAGUUUUCCUUAACGGUUGCCAUUCUGUUUGCUGUAACUGAUCUGCAACAUUUCAGGAAAAGACAAUU